RNAcentral lists this small RNA (8389 nucleotides) under Mytilus galloprovincialis (Mediterranean mussel). Lineage: Eukaryota; Metazoa; Mollusca; Bivalvia; Mytilida; Mytilidae. The record is from RNAcentral.
AUGGGUGAAGGAAAUUUAACUUGUGCUCUUUUUCUAGACUUUAGAAAAGCUUUCGAUAUUGUUAACCAUCAUAUUUUACUGGACAAACUACAGAUGUAUCACUGUGAUGAUCAUGCUAUGGAUUGGUUUAAAUCUUCAUCAGUAACAGAUUUAAAUGCAUUUCUGAAUGUAAAUUUUUGUAAUGUUAUGAAUUGGUAUAAUGAUAUGAUAUUGAACGGUCAUGUGACAAGGAAAGUGAAGGACUUUUGUCGUGAGGCAAAAACACAGAUUGUUGCUGAUUGUAUUAAAUGCUAUUUACACGACGAAACUGUUAGUAGAUGUUCAUUCUAUUAGAGCUUUCUUACAAAAUGACGAAAGGUACGAACGAACGUAAAGGGAGCACGUAUUUCAUUUCCACAAUAACAAUUUAGAGUCUUUACUUUUAUCCGGUAAAACAGUGUUCUUUCCUGGAUCAAAUUUAUCUUUCAAAAAUAAGCAUAUCGCAAAUAAUACACGCUUUUAAUAUAAGAAAACAAAGAAAAAUAGUGUCAAAUACACUUACGUCCGAUACGUUACUUACGUAAACCACGAGUUCACAAAUUUCCGCGGGAAUAUUUUAAGCAUGAGUUUUUAUGAUUAAAAAAUUUUAAUAGCAUUAUUGAGGUACGUUAGUUUAAAUUUAACGACAAGAUUCACAUUUGUUUUUUUUUUUAUAUUACACUUUCAGCAAAUUGUUAACGUGAAAUAUCGAGAUUUGCAAAACAAUAAUGCUGCAUUGUUUUGAAAAAGUAAUGUGAAAUGAAUUGUGAUCAUUUUUUUUGUUUUCUAUCUGAAACUAUAACUUUAAGUUAUGAUUGCAAAUUCAGUUAAAUAUGAACGUUACAAAGUCCACACUGUGAAACAAGUAUAAAAUGGGGGAAAAACCAAGGUAUGGGAGCAACCAACUUCAAAAGAGGAGGGGUAAUGUUUUUUUUCUUUUCUUGGUUUUUCGACGCUAUAAAGCAAUUGAUUUUUUUUUCCAAAAUUUUAACACUAUAGGGUAAAGGGAAAAUCUGGAUUCAGAAUUUUUUGUUUGUAAUCUGCAUGACCACAAUAUGUGUUUGUGAUAAAAUUAUUUAAAUUAUUUGUUUUACAAAUUUUAAUUGAAGUUUGAAUUUACAUCCACGAUUCACAGGAUCUUGAUCAUACUUUUGACAAAUUUUAAUCGGGAACGGUCCUGUCAAGGACGGCAGUAAAAAUCGUGAAUGUGUGACCCCAGCUUAAGGUUUUUGUUAUUGUUUUUAGGGGCAUUUUUUCUUCUGAAUUCCCUAUUUUUAGGAUAUUUUAUAGGGUUAUCUCCUUCCACCUGGUGGUAUUAUAUGUUAACCUAUCGUACGUCCCGAAAUCAUAUAUGUCCUAUAUAUCGGAAAAAAAUGUCGAUGCAUGUAGGGUAAUGGUCUGUCUGAGGUUCCAUGACUAUUAUUUAGAUAUAUGUCAAAAUAAAGGAUCCCGAAAACGAGUCUUGCGUAUGAUUCGUCAUGCGUACGUACCUUUCGUCAAUUUGUAAGAAAGCUCUAUUAGGAAGAUACUGUAUAUUGAAAAGCUUUAUAAGAACAAUCGUUAUUUCUCGUUUACCUAGCAGAGGUUGGUUUGUUAUCGAUCACGCAUUUCGAACAUUCGAGUAUCCACAAUCCUGGAAUUCAGCAAUCUAUUAUUUUACUUUAUACCAGUGUCAACCGUUUUAGCAGUCUUUUGUAUUGAAUUUAUUCUAACCAAUCUUUGUUAACUAUCAAUAUGACCAGAAACAAGUCAAAUGCAUAGCGUAAAUUGAUUUGUCAAAUAAUAUAGACUCUUCAUUUGAUUCACCAUCACAAGAACAAUAAAAAAAGGGACAAACAAAACUUUCAAAAAAACAACACCGGUGUUCGUUCUAGGGCUUGUCAUCCGAAAAUAAACCGGAUAACCAGAAACAUGUCUUCAAUACGAAAACCAAUACACCGCAUCAGUACCCAUACCCAUCCCCUUUUCCUGGUCCCCUUCUAUCUCAUUCUGGACCAUAUCCGUCCUUUAUUUGGGCCCCAACUCCAGUGGCUGAUAACAACAUGCUUAAUCAUAUUAUGCAAUUUAUCUGACCUUUUAUGUAUUUCUAGGAAUAUGAUUGGUUAAAAGCAACCGCGUGGAGACUGCGUAUAUUUCAUAUGGGGUUAGAAGGCAUGGUUUAUUUCAAUACACGGUUAGAAGUGGUGUUACGUCCCUUUAUAAAAACAACGCGGUGUUGAGGAAAAUCUGAAAGGUUUCAACAGACGAAGAAAUUGAUCAUGAACGAUUGAAAUAAAGGCAGAAAACACAUUAAAAGGUUACAAGUUGUUAUUGUUGACAUUGUUUUUGUAUAGACCAAUUGAAGUAGUGACUUGAUCACCUUGGUAGGCCACUAUUCUAAAUGCCACAUGUUAAGAAAGUCGGUACGAUGAAUUCGUUGCACAGUGUGCUAGUGACCUAACACAUAUAUAGGGUCAGUAAAUUCCAUAUGGAAUUUACUGACCCCAUUUAUAUCGUACUUGGUCACUAACAGACUAUGUAACUAAUAAUAUCACGACGGAAGAUAGCCAACUAAGUAAAAUUAGAAAAUAUGGAGAGAGAAAAAUCGACAAAUUGGAAAGUUUCUGUGAAAAUAUUGAGAACUUGUAUAUUCGAGUAUAUAAAAACUGAAACCGGUAUUGAAAACCUUACUUCACAAAUGACUGAAAUACAAAAUGCAUGCGAUUCUCAUAAUAUAAAGCUUGAUGAGUUAUGUGUAGAGUGGACAACCUCUGAAAAAACAUAGCUCUUUUGAUAUUGCUGCGUUAAGCACUCUGUUGUUGACCUGACAGCGAUUUUUUUGCAAUUUUCUCAAUUUAUUUUCACACUAGAGAAGAACGAGGUUAAUUCUGUUCGUGUUAUUUUUAUAAUCACAAAAGUCGCGUAAAUAAAUUGGGUGCCAAAAUUAAUUGGUUUGAAGUAUGUUUUUUUUUUCAAAACUAAAUUAUUAAGAAAACCCCAAAAACUUUAUCCAAAAAAUAUCACAAGUUAGUUCAUUCCAAUCCUUUGCAUGCAAUAAUCUGUUCGUGUUGUUUUCUAGUUGUGCGAAGAUCUCAUAACUACUAUAAGUGUCUGACAGUAGCUGACCUGAAAAAAUACAUACAAAAAGGUGUGUUAAAAUGUGAGAAAAGAAGCGUUAAAAUGAGAUAAUAAAAUUAAAAAGCAGAGAACUUAAAAGCAGGACUGUAAUGGUGAAUUUGUGAAUUUGAAUUCCUUGCUGUUGAACUCUAUUUGAAUAUGUUUAUCAUGCAUAAAAUCCCUUCAUGUAUUGUCUCUAUAUGUAAACUAUAAAACUUUGAACUUUACUAAAAUUUACCAAGCGAUUUAAGAGGAGUAUUGCUCAUUACAGUUUUUUUUUAAACAAAUGGGCAUAGGGACAAGACAAUUUCUACAUUUCCGAUAGACACCCAGAAAUAUAUGAUAAGGUCGAUAAAGUACCAGUUACUUGUAUAUGAAAAGCCCUGUCAUUCUUUCACAGCCGAAAGUCUGGCCGUAAGUAAACAUUACACACAGAAUCUUAGCUUUAAAUAUUCCACUUUUCCACCCCACCCCACAAAACCCAACCAAUAUGGGAAAAGGUUACAAUUUUACCUAUGAAAUAUAUGAAAAGGUAUACAUUCCUAAGAUCUAUAUUAUAUGAAAAGGGAGGGGUAACAGAACCACCGCGACACCCCUAUCAAUUAAGUAUUGAAGUGCCAUCUCCUCCUCUCCCCCCCCCCCGCCGAGAUAACACCAUGACCAAAGCGACAAAGGUAGAACGUGACAAACAACAAUCAAAACACUUCACCGAAAUGAACGAAAUAAACUCAUUAUAGAUACCAGGAUUGAAAUUUUACGUUUGCGUGAGACGCGCGUUUCGUCUACGAAUUCCGAAAGACUCAUCAGUGACGCUCGAAUCAAAAAUGUUUACUACAUACUAUAUGUAUCAUUUACGCAAAAAAAAAAAAACACAAAAAAAACCCAAAAAAAAAAAACAAACAACUUAUUGCGCCAGUUUUAUGAAUUUAUUUAUUUUUACUGUACACAGAAAUUUCAAAUUGGCCUCACAUCCAAAUAGAAUGAUCCCGCUUUCUGAAUCAUUACACAAUACAAAGUCAUCAUUUUUGUUUUUUACAACACCAAAUAUCAUCAAGAAUUCUGUGAAAUUCGGCUUGAUUGUUUGGUUGAGCUGGAUGCAGUUUCCUUCUUUCUCUGUUCACGAGAGGUGUAAUUGAUACCUUUUCAAAAGUAUAGAUGUGCCAAUUACAAGAUGGACGUUCAUAAUUUUCCUCGUUCGAAAUCAUCGAGAAUAUGGUGAAUAACAUAGAUUAUAUCGAAUUUAUAGAUGUAUGUAUUUAUGUGGUGUUAUAUUGGGUUCCUAAUCCAUCUUCAAGCCCCAUUCGUACAGUUAAAUAGACAAUAGACAAUAGACAAUGUUUUAUUCGCACAAACACAUUUACAUUAAAUGGUUAUGGCAUACAAAAUUAAGACAAUAAACUGACAAUAGUUAAAUUGAUUAUAAUUAUAUUAGAGUGACAGUGGUAUUCACAGCGAAGAAGAAAAAGGCUAUAAAUAUCAACAGUUAACACAUUGUUAAUGUUCAUGAACAAUUAAAAAAAAAGAUCACAAACAAAAAUUAGGUUGCAUAUUAAAAAAAAAGUUAUACAGAUGUUCUUAAUAAAAGACAAUCAUUAAUAUACUUUAUGGUGAUUUUUAUAAUGACUGGUAGACUGCUAUUUAAAAGUACAGUCAAAUGAUUUAGUGUUAUAGUGGACUGCAAUUUAAUAAAAUUGAAAUUAAGAUUUUUAUUAAUAUUUUGUAUAUAGGUAUACCUUAAUGAUUUAUAGCAUGGACAGAUUGAGAAGAAAUUGUAUUCAUCCUCAAUUUCUUGUCUGUUACAGGAUAAGCAAAUGCGUUUACUUCUUUCAAUGUUGGUAUAACUAUAAUGAUGCAAAAACGAGUGAUAUUUAAAGAUAAGAUUUAUAAAUAAAUUACAAGUAAAGCGUUGGUGAAUAAUUGAAGAAUUGCACAGAAGUUAAAGAGAAUAUUUGUCAAUUAAUUGUAAAAUUAAAUGACAGAAAAAUAAACGUAAAUAAAAUAAAUCAAAGAAAGUUUUACUUGUUUAUAGAACAAUUUACUAAAAAUAUAAAUGUAAAGUGUUUAAUCUUUUAAGCAUAUUUGAUAACGUUGUCUCAAACAUGUCCCCCAGCUAAUAAUUGAUAAAUGUGUCAGCUUCGAAGGCAUAAAGAUAAUUGUAUAUACUUUUAAAAUUAAUAGACUUGAACAAUUAAGAUUAAGUAAUUCUGCCUUUAACCGACAAAAAUCCAUUGUUUAUUAAAAGAGAUCAGAGAAAGCUAUUGUAAUGAGUAACAACAUAUUACGUGUCAAAUUAAGUCCAGUCUGCUAUAUAAAGUCGUGCAAAACUAUUUGGUUCACUAGACUGUGAACCAGAAUAAAAUGUAGUUAGCAGACUGGAUUGUCUUUUAAAGGUUAGUAAAAAUGUUAAAUUUGUUUAAUAGUUUAUCUUAUAAAUUUUAGCAGAAACGAGUUUAAAGAAUUAAAAGAUGUUUUCCAGUAAAGUAAUUUUAAUCACAUUCACAAGUAAAAUCGUGGUACAGUUUAAAUAAAUAAGAGGCAAAGUUUGAGAUAAAAUUUAGGUAAAUGAUUUGUAUAAAAUAUUCUUAACAUAUAAAAAGAAAUUAACUUAUUCGUAUUAAUAACUUUUGAAAAGGGUCAUAAAAAGCAAAAACAAAAAUUAAACAUUGAUCUUUCUGAAGCAGACUUAACAAAUGAGCAAAAAGAUAAAUUAAGAAAAUUUGUUGAUAAAAAUAGGAAUGUAUUUGCAACAGAUUUGUCUGAAAUUGGCAUGACAGAUGUACACUUUCAUGAAAUUGACACAGGGAACAACCCUCCUGUAAGUUUACCCCCACAUAGAGCUGCACCCAAUAUUAGAACAGAGAUUGAAAGACAAGUUGAAGAGAUGUUGAAGUACAAAAUUAUUGAGCCUUCUAAUUCUAUUUGGCAUAGCCCCGUUUGUCUCACUCGUAAGAAAGACAACAGUUGGCGAUUUUGCGUUGAUUAUAGAAGGGUAAAUGCUUUUACUUCCCCGAUGCAUGCUACGCUUGGAAACAUGCAUGAUGUCUUUGAUACUAUGGGAGAAAUGCAACCACAGAUAUUUAGUUCUAUUGAUUUAUCUUCAUCUUUUUGGCAGGUGCCUUUGCACCCAAAUUCUAAACAAAAAGCAGCGUUUGUAACUCAUUCUGGAAUCUAUGAAUGGAAUAGAAUGCCGUAUGGUCUACGUAAUAGCAGUAUAGCUUUUUCUCAGGUCAUGUCACAAAUAUUAAGAGGAUUGCACUGGAAGUAUGUACUUGCAUAUAUUGAUGAUAUUUUGAUUUUCAGUAAAACAUUUGAAGAGCAUCUGCAACAUCUUGAAGAAGUAUUUGCUAGGUUACGUAAAGCAAAUUUUACUCUUAAACCACAAAAAUGUCACUUUGCUGUUAAGAAAGUCAAUUAUCUAGGUCACAUUAUUUCAAAAGACGGUGUCAAGGUAGAUGAUUCCAAAAUUACUAUAGUAAAAAACUAUCCGAGGCCUAAAAAUCAGCACGAGGUCAGACAGUUCUUAGGUCUGUGUAAUUACUAUAGACGCUUUGUAAAGGACUAUGCUAAAAUCACAGUUCCCUUAAAUAAUCUUUUACAAAAAGACAAAGAAUAUGUUUGGACUGAUAAAUGUCAAAUUUCGUUUGAAAAUCUUAAACAAGCUUUGACAACUGCUCCUGUUUUGUCGUACCCAGAUAUGUCAAAACCAUUUAUUUUGACUUGUGACGCAUCAGGUUCAGCCAUUGGCUAUAUUCUAGGUCAGUUAGAUGAAAAUGGUAAAGAAAGAGUAAUAUCAUACAGUGGUCGUGCUUUGAGAAAUAAUGAAUUAAACUGGACUAUUACUGAAAAAGAAUGCUUAGCAGUUCUUGAAGGUAUCACUAAAAACAAAGUUUAUUUGUCUCAUGCAAGAUUCAAAGUGUAUACUGAUCAUCAAGCUUUAGUUUGGUUACAUAAAUCAAAAGAUACUAACUCUCGUCUAGGGAGAUGGGCUCUUGAAUUGCAAAAUUAUGAUUUUGAAAUUAUUUAUAAAGAAGGUAAAAAGAAUACAAAUGCGGAUGCUUUGUCAAGAAUUCCUUAUAAAGAAAUUGAAGAUGAAAUACACCCAAAAUUGUCUGUAAACAGUUUAUUGGAAAAUAAGAUCAAAACUGAAAUUAAGUUUGAGUAUGCAAAUGAAAAGCCAAUAAUUGCAGCUAUUGAAAAUAAUGAGGUUGAUCUGAAUGAUGUAUCAGAUAUUUCAAAAUUGCAAAGAGAAUGUGAUCAGUUGAUCCCAUUGAUAAAAUACCUUGAAACGGGCGAGUUGCCCGAAAAUCAAAAAGAGGCUCGCAACAUAUGUUAUGAACGAGACCACUAUAGAUUAAGUCAAUCAGGUGAGUUAAUUCAUUUACAUAGGUCAAGAACAAAAGGGAUACCUAAAGCUGAAAGCAUGAUUGAACAAUUGGUUUUACCGAAAUGUCUAAGACAAGAUGCUUUGUUAGCAUAUCAUGAUCACAAUGGUCAUACAGGCAUCAAACGCACAUACGCUGGUAUACAUCUUAAAUAUUAUUGGUCAGGUAUGUAUCAAGAAGUUUAUAAUUAUGUGACGUCAUGUGAUAAAUGUCAAAGGUCAAAACAACCAACACACCAUCGUCCGGCACCAUUGCUUCCCCUUCCUAUUGAAGACACUUUGUCUAGAUGGCACAUGGACAUUCUUACAUGUCUACCCAAAACAAAAGACGGAUAUCAACACUUAUUGUUAGUAGUCGAUAGUUUUUCUCGAUGGCCCGAAUGUUUCCCUCUUAAGACUCAAGAAGCUACCGAAAUAGCUGAAGUAUUAUACAAUGAGGUGUUUUCUAGAUUUGGUGCGCCAAGAGCAAUUGUAUCUGACAGAGGAGCUAAUUUUUGUAGUAAACUUAUUCAGGCUCUAUGUGAACUAUUUGAAGUUCAAAGGUAUCAUACUAGUUCGUACCAUCCGCAAACCAAUUCAACAUGUGAACGAAUGAAUCGAACGAUCGCACAAACUUUACGUACAUUAGUGGCUAAAGAUCAGUCAAAUUGGCAUAAGUUAAUCCCUAGCGUUAUGAUGGCUUUACGUAUGUCUACAAAUACUGAAUCAACUGGUUAUUCUCCAUUUCAAAUGUUGUUUGGUAAAGAAAUGAACUUGCCAUUUGAUAUUUCUGUUCAACCUAAAGAUGGUAUGAGUAAAACUGCUAAGAAUCAUCUCGAAACCCUUAUUGAUAGACUAAAAAUUGUAAAAGAUAUAUACAAAAACUUCAGUAGAAAAUUCACAAGAGAAAACUAA